GCUGCCAUGCUGAGGAUGGGUUACAGAGGCUGCGGCAGAAGGAGGGGACCAGUUGGGAGCUGAUGGUGGCCUGGAUAAGAAUACAGGCUGACAAGACAGGAUUUGAUUAUAUACUGGAUCCCAAGUGAAAAUUGAAGGAUGGCACUGAGGUUUUGUUUAUUUAUUUCUUUGCUUAUUAAUUUAUUCUAAGUACACAUGUGUCAACUUUGUUUAUGCUACAACAGACACUUAUUUUGUACCAUUGUCAGUUGUGUAAGUGUUCCUUCCACUGGACUGUGGGCUUCGCUAGUGUCCAGUGCUUUUAUUUUUUCAUCUUUGAUCUCCAUAAAAUCUCUGUAGGAGGCACUCCUGCAAGAAGAAUGUGUGACAAAACUGAAAGAACCAUAUGACUGGGAGUCCAAGAAACUCUUUUUUGGGAACCCCUGUGUGAGUGCAGAGGAAGAAAACAGGGGCGUUUUUUUCCUUACUGGCUGGGGACACAGGCAAGCGGUGCAGUUAUGAGGGUAAAACUCAGGACCAGUGCCUGGUGGGGUGGACUCUGAAGGCGUUUGAAGGUCAAAGGAGAUCUGGACUUUGGGAUGUCCCUGGUGGAUGGAUGAAGAAACUGGGACUCAGAGAGGUUAAGGAUCGGCCCAGGAAUUUCAAAUUCGAUCACCAAAGUUGCUGCAAAUUUGGGCCUCUCCAACUGACACCAGCCAGAGAAAGCUUCAUUUGUCUUUGCAAGGCCUCCCUCAAUCCACACUCUUUUUGGAAAAGAUGCUGGAAAUUCUGUGCUCCACGAGUUGAUACUGGCAAGUAUUCUGCUGGUUUGGGUAACUCCGGGCCCACAAGAUAGAAUCCUGGCUCCCUGGGAUUAGGACACCGCAAGGGGUCAUCUAGCGACUCCUUUGCUUCUAGGGAGGGACACACCCAAACCUUCCAGCAAAAUGUCUCUCCUUUCCAUAAGCGCAGCGCUUCACUGAGUGCGGAACCAGCGGCCCUUUACGCACACGCGCUCCCUCAGGCUGCACCAGGGCUCUACUGGAUAAAGCUGGAUGGAACCUGUGACACCGCUGAUGUGCAACUACUUUUGUCCUGAA
Molecule: long non-coding RNA, 1079 nt
Organism: Globicephala melas (long-finned pilot whale)
Lineage: Eukaryota; Metazoa; Chordata; Mammalia; Artiodactyla; Delphinidae
Source: RefSeq, a predicted model, not a curated record